UACGUAGGGGGCAAGCGUUAUCCGGAAUUUCUGGGUGUAAAGGGAGCGUAGACGGUAAUGUAAGUCUGGAGUGAAAGGCGGGGGCCCAACCCCCGGACUGCUCUGGAAACUAUGUUACUAGAGUGCAGGAGAGGUAAGCGGAAUUCCUAGUGUAGCGGUGAAAUGCGUAGAUAUUAGGAGGAACACCAGUGGCGAAGGCGGCUUACUGGACUGUAACUGACGUUGAGGCUCGAAAGCGUGGGGAGCAAACAGG
This 253-nucleotide ribosomal RNA is filed under the name uncultured bacterium. RNAcentral's name for it is "partial 16S ribosomal RNA". It matches the Rfam family "Bacterial small subunit ribosomal RNA", at positions 524 to 776 of the family's 1533-position model. The record is from RNAcentral.